AACGUUCCCGUCACGUGUGCAUGCAGCGCUUCAGCAAGACGAAGUGAUGAAAAACAGUGGCCAGCGUUGCAUCAUGGGUAAAGCAAGAGGAAGUCGAGCCAACCAAGAAGAUUGCGCGAUGUUAAUGAGCGAGUCCGCGGAUGGAUGGAUGAAUGAAUGUGCGUUUGCGGAACGAUAACAUAGCAUACACGUAUCUGUCUCCUUUAUUUUUUUCCGUGAAAAUUAAGGGUCAAUAACGAUUGUUAGAAAAAUAAAUAAAGAUCGAGAAAGAAAGGAAAACGUCGGAUUAUAUUUUCAUUUUCUAUUGGUUCCGGGCUCUUGUUUCUGUCCGGUGACGUGUGCUGACGGACCAACUCGACAUGUCUGCAGCGGGUGAAAAACUCGUCAAAGUGUCUCAAAAUGAGGACGAGGACAAACUGCAGCUGAUUAAAGGUGCCGUCUUCCUGGCCACGGUUUCGUCUUUGGGCCUCAUUGCGGGCUUCGGAUCCACUUUGGCUUUGGCCAAGAAGAACAACCCCGGCUGCUUCGCUAAGGGCGCCACGGCCACGGCGGCGCUGCCCGAGAGCGGCGCGGCGCUGGCGCUGCGAGCGCUGGGCCGAGGCUCGUUGUACGCGUGCUGCGGCGUGGGCCUGCUCGGCUUCGGCGUGUGGAAGCUGCUCGGCGUUCGCGGCCUGUCCGACUUCCGACAGAAGAUGUCGUCGUCGUUCCCGCCCGUCCCCAAGUCGGACUCGGACGCGGCCCCGGGAUCUGACCCGCAAGAAUUGGACUCGAUCUUCAAGUCCAAGUGACGGAACCUGUUGGAAUGCAUCUGAAAGUGACUUAUGAGAAGACGGGUGGUGCUUUCGAGGACUCGUGUCGAUUAUGUCCGGCAGAUGGUGGCGUCAUUGCGGAUCUUUUGUUGGAAUCUGGAUCUGGAGAAAGGACUUCGGAUCUUGCAGACUGGACCAGGGUAUGGUAGCAUCAUCCUGGAUCCGGAGAUGGGAUCUCGGAGGUGUGGCGUGUUAGAGCAUCAGCGUGGAAAUGAAGAUAAAGGUUGUCAUCAUCAGUGACGUCGGAGUCAUUUGAGGUCCUCCUGCCAGACAAGACACAAGAUUAAGACGGUUUUCAUGAAGUGGCCGCACGUGGUCUAGUUUCCUGGUCCUCACCACUGUGGGCCGUGAUGAGCAUGCUCGCGAUGUGCUCCAGGGAUCCGUUGUUGGGCUCUGCUCGGAUGUCGAGCAGCUGGCACAUGAGCGGAUAAAUGUGAACGCUGUCGAACGGCUCGGCCAGGAAGUUCUUCUUGAAGUCAGGUCCGAAGGCCCUGAAGAUCAUCUUCAUGUCCAUCUCGCCGUUGUGGAAGCCGUGGUCGCCUUUGUUCACAUACACGAUAAAUCUCUGGCACGGGAAAAACGCCGUUGAGCGGUUAAGGACGUUAGCGUUCUCGAGGCGAAGAGGCUACCUACAUUAGCAUGGUGAUGUCAGAACAGUUAGCUACAUUAGCAUGUUGACAUGGAAGCAGCUAACUACAUUAGCAUGUCAACAUUAGCAUGUCCAUGUUACAGCAGUUAGCUAUCUUAGCAUGUUGACAUUUGAAAUCAGUUAGCUAGUUAGGGGAUGCAGUUAGCUAUAAUAGCAUGUCUACAUUAGCAUGUUGACAGGAAAGUAGUCAGCUACAUUAGCGUGCAGCAUUUUGAGGAUGACACUGUUAGGAUGUUGACAUUUUACCAGUUCGCUCCAUUAGCUUAGCUAGAAUGUUAUAUUAGCAUGUUGACGUGGAAGCAGUUUGCUACAUUAGAAUGUACACAUUAGUAUGUUGCCAUGAAAGCAGUUAGCUACAUUAGCAUGUUAACGUGGAAGUGGAAGCCCUCAGCUCCACUAGCAUAUUGCCUAUAAAACAGUUUGCUAGAGUCACAUGUUGAUGUGAAAGUGGUUAGCCACUUUAGCAGAUUGAUUUGAAAGUGAAAGCAGUUAGCAUUAGCUGACCGAAAAAGUUGAGGUUGAAUGCGGCAUGCUAAUGUAGCUAACUGCUUUCCAUGUUGACACGCUAAUGUGACUAACUGCUUCCACAUCGUGCGUGCCAACCUGAAAGUGAACGUAGUUAGCAUGAGCAUCAGCACACUGACCGAGUUGAGGUUGAAGCCGAGGUCCGCCACCACCACGACGGGCGGCAGGCGUCGGCUGCGCGCCAGGUGGAAACUCUCGGGCAUGUCCUCCUUCCUGUAGACGGUCAGGUUGGGAGCCUUAGCUAGCGCCUCCAGUACUUCCCCCUCCUUCCCCGGCCGCGGCGUCAGGAUCCCGAAUCCGCCGUAGUCCAGAAUCUCGAAGCUGGCUAGCUUGAGCAGAUUCAGGUACUUGUUGAGCACGAUUUCGUCCACCAGAGGGCGCUUCUUGACGGUGGUCAUGCCGUGGUCGGACGUGAUGAUGACGUUGAGGCUGGCGUCCAGCUUGUGCCGCCCGAUGGCUUCCCGCAAGUAACCCACCGUGCGAUCGAUCUGCCGGAUGAUGGCCUUCCGGUCCGGGUGGUCCGGACCCCGGGCGUGGCCCACAUUGUCGGGCUCGCCGUAGUACAAGGUGACCAGGUCAAAGUCCUCCUCGGAGAACCAGCUCAGAACCGUGUCGAUGUUGUGCUGCCACUCGGUCUCGUUGUCGUCGGGGUAGCCCUGCUCCUCCACGACGGCCCGGUUCACCGCCUGGCCACUGUAGUUGGCACCACCUCCGGGGUAGUAGAAAGAGGCCGUUUUCAGACCCUGGGACACACGAAAACUUUCAUUUAUGUUGCUUAGCAUGAUCACUUGAUAGCUUCAACAUGCUCAUGUAGCAAACUGCUAGCCCGGUACCACACACAUUCAGCAUGCUAAUGUAGCUCACUGUAAAACAGUGAUUCCCAUCUGGUAGGCCAGGACCCAAAGUGGGUCGCGGACCCAUUUUCGGCGGGUUGCGGACAGUUAGUUAAAAAUGACAUGUACAGGAAUCUUAUUUUGAUUUUUCGAGUAGCCUACAAUACAGAGGUGUACCAAGUCUCCACAUGGAACAUAUUAGGUCAGCGACAGACAUUGUAGCUGCCUCGCCCUUUGCCCACUAGUUUACGCCAUAAACAAAUACAGUGCAGCUCAGCCUCCGGCUAGCAGAGGUCAUGGACGUGCAAUCUUCUUUUGGCGGUAGCCUAAGUCAAACUCAAUUUGAAACUGCAUUUAAAAAUAUAUAAUGUACUGUACAUGUGUUUUUAUAUGCUAUUUAAAGAAAAAUGCUUUACCUUUCUUAACUUCUAUAAAAGUGGGUCACGACUUUACAACAAUAGGAAAAUGUGGGUCCUAUGGUGACAACAGUUGAAAACCACUUGCCUAAAACAUACUAUCAACAUACUUACGUCACCGAAUGUCAUUGGCAGGCUAAUGUAGCUAACUGGUAGCCUUACACCAGUUGUUUUGCUGGUAAGCCAGGAGUGUACAGUACAUCUCGCCGCCUAAAACAUCAGCAGUUGCCUCUCGUCUGGCAGCUGUCGAUGUCCAUUACAAAUAGCCGAAGGUCAACACAAGUUCACAUGGCUGUUGGAUCAAUUUUGUAAAAAAAAUCCACUACACUAACAUUAUGCCAUCAGCAUGCUGCUGUUGCCAUCUUUGACAUCCUAAUAUAGCUAAGUAUUAACCUAGCUAGAGCAUACUGUACAGUCAACCUGCUAAUGUGUCUAAGAGCAUCAUCGUGACACGAUCAUCAUUCUAAUAUGGCUAACAUAACAUCAUCUUCUGACAUGUUCGUCACUGCUAAUGUGGCUAACAGAACAUCAUCAGACAUGUUCGUCAUGCUAAUGUGGCUAACAGAACAUCAUCAGACAUGUUCAUCAUGCUAAUGUGGCUAACACAACAUCAUAAUCAUCUGACACGUUCAUCAUGCUAAUGCGGCUAACGUAACAUCAUCAUCCUCUCACAUGUUCGUCAUGCUGUUGUGGCUAACGUGAGUUGUUGAUUGAGCGGUUAAUGUUAGAUUGACAGCUGUCUGUCACCUGGUUCUGCGCCGUUAUCCAGAGUGGCAAAACGCCGUUGUCCCACCACUCGGAGCGCUUGAGGGUCUCCUUGUGAGGAACCUUCUGGUUGGUCCGCGGGUUAAACAUCAUGUUGUGGACCACCUCGUGGUCCUCCACCCAGCGGCCUGAACAAGAAGAAGAUGAAGAACAAGAUGAUGAAGAAGAUGGACAUGGUGAUCAACAUAAACCGAGGAACAUUUGGGAGGUGCACAUGAAGCUUGAUGACGUCACACUUGCAAACCAAUCAGUUAACACGGUUGAUUUUCAUUUGUUACCAAGCUCAGCUCACAAAUCAAACCACCAGGACAGGACAGGAGGAGAAGAAAUCUGAUCAGAACACAACACAACAGGAGCUGGUGUGAUGACAGGACAGGACGAGAUUUGACACGACAGACAGGAAAAGGCGUGUCAUCAUAUGACAAGUGCGAUACGUUUGAUCAUAUGACUCCGAUACUGUCCAACUUGCUCUGGCUGCCAGUCCACUUCAGAUGCGAUUUAAAGGUUUUGCUCCUCACUCAUAAAAUAUGACAUGGCGUAGUACCCUCUUACCACGCUGACUUAGUUGUACCGUAUGUUCCGUCCCGAAACCUACGCUCGCAACGCGCUGGGCUUUUGGUGACUGAGAGCCAGAAAGAAGUCUGCAGGUUCUCGAGCCAGCAGAUAUUAGAGCUGCUACCUCAGUAGAAAUGUUUCAAUCUCGACUUCAGUCUAAUUUUGACACUUUGGCAUUUAGUUAAAGUACACGUAGGUCUGCUUUCCUGCAGCUUGUCUUAUCUCCACCCCGAAGUGGCAAUGACCGAAUCCGAGGCUGUUGCUUCACGGGUUCUGCAGCCACCGUCUGGGACAAGAUCGGUGGUGGACCUCUUCCCCGGAGUCGCUGCUGCGGAAGAUUCUGCUCCGAACGACUGGAGCGACCUGGUCAUCCUGAAAGGGGGAUCCGUCCACCUGGUCCCCUCUCUAGCUUCAAUCGUCACGCUUCAAUCGACCCUUGAGGUCAAGUCAACUCCUGACAAGUUCGAGUCUGCUUUGUGGAAAUGGCUUUCUUCUGUCUCUCUCCUUUUGUCUCUCUCACCCAACCGGUCUUAGGUCUGCUUGAGGUUUCUUCCCAAGAGGGAGUUUUCCUUGCUCGUGUGAGGUUCAGUGGGUCUUUUAAUGAAUGAGGAGUGUGGCCUUUGACCUGCUCCAUGUGUAAAGUGCCCUGAGACAACUUCUGUUGUGAUUUGACAGACACCACCGGACAGACAACCGGAGAGGAGCGGAUAUGACGCCACAGGACAGAUGACAGAACGGGACAGGACUGAGUGCGUGAGAUUGUGGGCCGACCUGUGAUGGUGGUGAAGUGCGACGGUGAGGUCAUGGUCAGCAUGGGCGGCGUGAUGUACUUGGCCUUGACGCCGUCCCGCGCCAUCCGAUCCAGGUUGGGCGUGUCCACGUCCUGGUCGUAGUCCCAACGGAAGCCGUCGAAGGAGAUCAGCAGAAGGCGCUUCCCGGUCCCGGUCCCGGUCGUGCUGCCGGUCGGGUUAGCGCAGGCCCCGGCCAAAAAGGUGCCGAAGAGGAGAACUGACUCGCAGCCUGGCGCCCGCCAUUGAGUUGCGAUUGUGAGCGGGCGCGGCGGCGGCGGCUCACUGAUAAAUAUCUGCUGAUGUCUUCAACCGGACCUUGGACCAUCUUUGCAAGCACGCACACGCACUUUGAUUUAGAUAUGCAGCGCCAUCACACACGUCAAGUCUCGCACUUGCUGUUGUGCGGCCGCUUUAUCAGACUAACUGAUUACAAUAUGAAGGCUGUAAACACAAUCAAGCGAUGACUGCAUUCUCUUUGCACGUGAAUCAUCCAUCAAUGCGAUGAUGUCAUAACCAUUAGCCUUGACUCCGUCUCAAGGUCAAAUUUGGGCUCCUUUCUUCACAUUUGAAGUUCAUUUAAUGUAUUCAUUAAUGGCAGUUUCAAUAAUGCGAUUAGGAUUAUUAGUUUACAUUUACGAUUAAAAUACCCAAAUUAGGUUCUUAUGUAGCCUUGACGCAUUUCAUUACAU
This is an RNA transcript of Phycodurus eques (leafy seadragon), 6032 nucleotides long. It is a transcript of the gene named transmembrane protein 242, with no coding region annotated. NCBI's taxonomy places the organism in Eukaryota, Metazoa, Chordata, Actinopteri, Syngnathiformes, Syngnathidae. The transcript has 5 exons. The record is from RefSeq and is a predicted model, not a curated record.